GACGAACGCUGGCGGCGUGCUUAACACAUGCAAGUCGAACGGAAAGGCCCUGCUUUUGUGGGGUGCUCGAGUGGCGAACGGGUGAGUAACACGUGUGUAACCUGCCCUUGACUUUGGGAUAACUUCAGGAAACUGGGGCUAAUACCGGCUAGGAGCUCCUGCUGCAUGGUGGGGGUUGGAAAGUUUCGGCGGUGGGGGAUGGACUCGCGGCUUAUCAGCUUGUUGGUGGGGUAGUGGCUUACCAAGGCUUUGACGGGUAGCCGGCAUGUGCGGGUGACCGGCCACAUUGGGACUAAGGUACGGCCCAGACUCCAACAGGAGGCAGCAGGGGGAAAUAUUGCACAAUGAGCGGAAGCGUGAUGAAACAGCGCCGCGGGCGGGAAGACGGCCUUCUGGUUGUAAACCGCUUUCGCCUGUGACGAAGCGUGAGUGACGGUAAUGGGUAAAGAAGCACCGGCUAACUACGUG
RNAcentral lists this ribosomal RNA (468 nucleotides) under uncultured bacterium. RNAcentral's name for it is "partial 16S ribosomal RNA". It matches the Rfam family "Bacterial small subunit ribosomal RNA", at positions 28 to 507 of the family's 1533-position model. The record is from RNAcentral.